This 378-nucleotide ribosomal RNA is filed under the name uncultured Campylobacterota bacterium. Its description in RNAcentral is "bacterial SSU rRNA". It matches the Rfam family "Bacterial small subunit ribosomal RNA", at positions 28 to 419 of the family's 1533-position model. Lineage: Bacteria; Pseudomonadati; Campylobacterota. The record is from RNAcentral.
GAUGAACGCUGGCGGUCUGCUUAACACAUGCAAGUCGAACGAACUCUUCGGAGUGAGUGGCGGACGGGUGAGUAAUGUAUAGUUAACCUGCCCUCUAGAGAGGAAUAACAGUUGGAAACGACUGCUAAUGCCUUAUAUGCCUUUAAGACUGAAGUCUGCAAGGGAAAUGCUUUAGUGCUAGAGGAUGGGACUGUAUGGUAUCAGUUAGUUGGUGGGGUAAUGGCUUACCAAGACAAUGACGCCUAACUGGUUUGAGAGGAUGAUCAGUCACACUGGAACUGAGACACGGUCCAGACUCCUACGGGAGGCAGCAGUGGGGAAUAUUGCACAAUGGAGGAACUCUGAUGCAGCAACGCCGCGUGGAGGAUGACACUUUUC